AUUGCCUCAGUAACGGCGAGUGAAGCGGCAACAGCUCAAAUUUGAAAUCUGGCCCUAGGCCCGAGUUGUAAUUUGCAGAGGAUGCUUUUGGCAAGGUGCCUUCCGAGUUCCCUGGAACGGGACGCCAUAGAGGGUGAGAGCCCCGUCUGGUCGGACACCGAGCCUCUGUAAAGCUCCUUCGACGAGUCGAGUAGUUUGGGAAUGCUGCUCAAAAUGGGAGGUAUAUGUCUUCUAAAGCUAAAUACCGGCCAGAGACCGAUAGCGCACAAGUAGAGUGAUCGAAAGAUGAAAAGCACUUUGAAAAGAGAGUUAAAUAGCACGUGAAAUUGUUGAAAGGGAAGCGUUUAUGACCAGACUUGGCCCGGUUGAUCAUCCAGCCUUCUGGCUGGUGCACUCUGCCGGUCCAGGCCAGCAUCAGUUCGUCGCGGGGGACAAAGGUUUCGGGAAUGUAGCUCCUCCGGGAGUGUUAUAGCCCGUUGCGUAAUACCCUGCGGUGGACUGAGGUCCGCGCUCUGCAAGGAUGCUGGCGUAAUGGUCAUCAACGACCCGUCUUGAAACACGGACCAAGGAGUCGUCUUCGUAUGCGAGUGUUCGGGUGUAAAACCCCUACGCGUAAUGAAAGUGAACGCAGGUGAGAGCUUCGGCGCAUCAUCGACCGAUCCUGAUGUUCUCGGAUGGAUUUGAGUAAGAGCAUACGGGGCCGGACCCGAAAGAAGGUGAACUAUGCCUGUAUAGGGUGAAGCCAGAGGAAACUCUGGUGGAGGCUCGCAGCGGUUCUGACGUGCAAAUCGAUCGUCAAAUAUGGGCAUGGGGGCGAAAGACUAAU
Molecule: ribosomal RNA, 826 nt
Filed under: Albifimbria viridis
Lineage: Eukaryota; Fungi; Ascomycota; Sordariomycetes; Hypocreales; Stachybotryaceae
Description: eukaryotic LSU rRNA
Rfam family: Eukaryotic large subunit ribosomal RNA
Source: RNAcentral